RNAcentral lists this ribosomal RNA (1324 nucleotides) under Sarcophaga albiceps. Its description in RNAcentral is "16S ribosomal RNA". The stretch from base 1073 to 1232 matches the Rfam family "Archaeal large subunit ribosomal RNA", at positions 2544 to 2703 of the family's 2987-position model. Lineage: Eukaryota; Metazoa; Arthropoda; Insecta; Diptera; Sarcophagidae. The record is from RNAcentral.
UUAUAUUUUAUUUAUUAAUUAAUUUUUUUUUUAUUAUAAAUUAUUAAAAAUAAUUAUUAAAAGUUUUGUUUGAGUAUUUUAUAAAGAAAAAAUAAUUUUAAUUAUAGUUAAAUAGUAUUGUGAAAGAAAAUUGAAAUAAUUUGAAAAAUUAAUAUUUUAAAAGAAAAUUUAAUUUAUUGUACCUUGUGUAUCAGGGUUUAUCAAAUAAAAAUUAUAUACUAUAAUUUUCUCGAUUUUAAAAGAGUUAAUAUAUUAUAAAAGUUAAUGUGACAAAAUUAUUUUGUAUAAUAUAUUGGAAAUGAAAUGUUAUUCGUUUUUAAAGGUAUCUAGUUCUUUAAGAAAUAAAUUUAAUUUAGAAAUUUUAUAUUAUUUGGUUAAAUAUAUUAGCUAAAUAAUUAUUUUAUUUUAAUAUUUUGUGGGAUAAGCUAUGAAAUAAAUUAUUAAAAAUUAUUAAAUAAUUUAAUAAAUAUAAGCUUAGAAAUAGCUAUUAUUAAUGAAAUUGUUAUAAUUUAUUUUAUAAUAUUAAUUAUUUAUUGAAUUUUAAUUAUGUAUUAAAGUAUUUAUUUUAAUUAUAAAAAUAAAAAAAUAAUGAUAAAAUUAGUAUAUUAUAUUGUAUAAAUAUGAUUAAUUGAUAAGUUUUUAUAAAGAACUCGGCAAAAAUAAUGUUCGCCUGUUUAACAAAAACAUGUCUUUUUGAAAUUUUUUUAAAGUCUAGCCUGCCCACUGAAUAAUUUAAAUGGCCGCAGUAUACUAACUGUGCAAAGGUAGCAUAAUCAUUAGUCUUUUAAUUGAAGGCUGGUAUGAAUGGUUGGACGAGAUAUUAACUGUUUCAUAAAAAUUUAUAAUAGAAUUUUAUUUUUUAGUCAAAAAGCUAAAAUAAAAUUAAAAGACGAGAAGACCCUAUAAAUCUUUAUAUAUAGAUUAUUAGAAUUUUGUAGAUUAUUUUUGUUAUAAUAAUUAAUUAUAUUUUAUUGGGGUGAUAUUAAAAUUUAAUAAACUUUUAAUUUUUGAAAUCAUUAAUUUAUGAAUAGUUGAUCCGUUAAUAACGAUUAAAAAAAUAAGUUACUUUAGGGAUAACAGCGUAAUUUUUUUGGAGAGUUCAUAUCGAUAAAAAAGAUUGCGACCUCGAUGUUGGAUUAAGAUAUAAUUUUAGGUGUAGCCGCUUAAAUUUUAAGUCUGUUCGACUUUUAAAUUCUUACAUGAUCUGAGUUCAAACCGGCGUAAGCCAGGUUGGUUUCUAUCUUUAAAAAAUUAAAAUAUUUCAGUACGAAAGGACCUAAUAUUUAAUAAAUUAUUAUUUUUAUAUUGAAUAUAAAUAAUUUAU